This 219-nucleotide unclassified non-coding RNA is filed under the name Hevea brasiliensis (rubber tree). Lineage: Eukaryota; Viridiplantae; Streptophyta; Magnoliopsida; Malpighiales; Euphorbiaceae. The record is from RNAcentral.
UUGCAAAUGUGAUGAAGAAGUGAAAAUUACAACUUCAUAGACAAAUGCACAUCUCAAAAGAAGGAUAUAUGGACAUGCAAGAACUAUGGGGUAAGGGAAAAUCAUUUUUUUUAUUGUAUGUGAGUGUCCCGCCCAAUCGAGGUGAAGGAGCUGAAGAUGUUGUAGUAUUGUAGUUGAAGGUUGUCAUUAAAUGACAUUCCUCUUUGCAAAUGUGAUGAA